CCUACGGGAGGCAGCAGUGGGGAAUUUUGGACAAUGGGCGCAAGCCUGAUCCAGCAAUGCCGCGUGCAGGAUGAAGGCCUUCGGGUUGUAAACUGCUUUUGUACGGAACGAAAAAGUCUGCCCUAAUACGGUGGGCCCAUGACGGUACCGUAAGAAUAAGCACCGGCUAACUACGUGCCAGCAGCCGCGGUAAUACGUAGGGUGCGAGCGUUAAUCGGAAUUACUGGGCGUAAAGCGUGCGCAGGCGGUUAUAUAAGACAGAUGUGAAAUCCCCGGGCUCAACCUGGGACCUGCAUUUGUGACUGUAUAGCUAGAGUACGGUAGAGGGGGAUGGAAUUCCGCGUGUAGCAGUGAAAUGCGUAGAUAUGCGGAGGAACACCGAUGGCGAAGGCAAUCCCCUGGACCUGUACUGACGCUCAUGCACGAAAGCGUGGGGAGCAAACAGGAUUAGAUACCCUGGUAGUCCACGCCCUAAACGAUGUCAACUGGUUGUUGGGUCUUCACUGACUCAGUAACGAAGCUAACGCGUGAAGUUGACCGCCUGGGGAGUACGGCCGCAAGGUUGAAACUCAAAGGAUUGAGG
RNAcentral lists this ribosomal RNA (583 nucleotides) under uncultured bacterium. RNAcentral's name for it is "bacterial SSU rRNA". It matches the Rfam family "Bacterial small subunit ribosomal RNA", at positions 338 to 915 of the family's 1533-position model. The record is from RNAcentral.